GGAAGUAUAUCCAACAGCUCUUCUAGUAUUUGCCAUGUUCUUUUUUUGGCUGAUAUAACUGUUAAUUUUUUGUUACUGCAUCUGUAGCUUGAAUAGAGCAGUUAUUUCACCACCGAUAUACUGGAAUUUUUCAUUUUUGGACUGAUGAAAUGGUCUAAAACUUGAUUCCAUUUUUUCUCCCCUGAUGUUAGAAAUCAGUUUAAAUUGUGCCUUUCCUGAAGAAAAAAUAGAGUGGAAAAAAAGGCAUGUCACAAAAUUCCCUGUCAGUGUCAAUGAUGGUCUGAUGAUCCUGUUCACUUUCUGUAUUUAGCUAGAAAAUAUGGCUCUGUGAAAAGCUGUAUGUUUCACAGGCACUGCUGAUAUUUCAUGGAGGAGAUUGGAGUCAAUGGUUAGCCUCCUUAGCCUCCUGUCCAGCUGGUCCUCAGGUGCAUUGCUACUAAGCCACUUCUAAUGACAAUACCCAGAUGGGUCAACAGACUUUCUGGGUGAAGAUACCACCAUUUCCAGUUCUCCUGCUCUCCCUAAAGACCUCAGGCACUUGUCAUAUGGAAGUUCAAGCAGCAAGGGGAGCCUCUGAUCCCCAGAGGCACCUCCCACUGGUUUCAGCACCCAGGAGGCAAGCUAAGGAGAGGCAGGUUGCACUGAUUUUCAAGGAUCGGAGAUUUGAUGAAGAGGAUUCAUUUCAAGAAAUAAACCUUUUAAAUUAACCGCAAGAUGAGGGAAAUUUCUUUAUUUAAAAAAUGCGCUAGCCCCUUCUUUGUUUCUUUUAUUAUUAUUAAUAUUAUUUUCCAUCCGGCUCUGGGUCAUUAAGGAGGGUCCAGAAGUCACAGAUUGCCUUUCUGAAGGAGGAGAGCUGAGAACUUCGAAUGUCACACAUUUUGUUUGGCUCCAAACCCUUCAUUUAUUGCAACACAAUUUGUUACCUGUGGUUGGCUCUGCACACCAUUGUGUGCUGUGCGCCAGGACUGAUUUAGCAGGGAAUGUCCUCUCCACCUUGAACUUGAGAGGGGGAAUAUCUCUUGAGAGAGGCGAUAGAAGAAUCAUGAAAGUCAGUCUUCCAGCUACUUAAGAAGAGAAAUGCCCUUUGAGGUCUGGGUAAAGUCCCCUCAAGCUUUGACAGGGUAUGGAGUUCAGGAAACCCUGGUUAUAACAAAAGCAGAUGGUUCUGUGAGGGCACAUUUAGGAUGCAGGGGUAAAGAAAUGGAAAAAAAAGAAAUCCUGGAACCAACAUGUGUCCUGAUGUGCCAUCCUGCCAUAGAGGUGUGCAGAUCGCAGUGGACACUAGCCAGGGCUGGAGGCAAAUGAUGGGUCAAGAUGAUUAAAGGACUAAUGCCAUGUUACCCUGGUCUUCCUUGGCAAGGCUGCAAAGUACCAUCUUUGAGGAUGGUAGUUUCUUUCCGAACCAUUUGGGAAUAGUUUGUUCCCCUCCAGUCCUUCCUGGCCACAGCUUCCUUGUAGCUCCCUGCAAAAGCUCCUGCAACCUGAUUGCAAAUGUAGCCUCCCAGUUCCCCAGCCUUCUGCCUAGCUGCAGCAUGGAGAGAUGCAAAACAAGAGUGUUGGAGCAAGCGUCUGCUGUCUUCUAUAAGAAAACUUUUCUUUUUUAGAUAAGUUCAUUUAAAACCCCAAAUGGUUGAGCCUCUUUCCUGUUUAAACAAGAGCCAGUCCUUCAGAAACACAACUGCUCACCUAACCAUAGAUAACCACCUCAGCUGUGUAGGAUGAACCUGCACCAGAGGCCCUUCACAGGUAAUGUCUGGGAAUGGACAGCUUUUGGGGUCUGGAGCCAUCUGCAUCCCUCGCUCCCAGUGAGGCUUCCUGAUCCAAACCCUAGUGCGGGGCCUCCUUGAAGCCAUCCUCUUUGCAGGAAGAUCCUGGCCACUGGUGAGACUGUACAGGCAGUGCACCACUGUCCUGGGAUGAGAAGUGCAGCGUUUGCCCUACUGAAGUGUCUCAGAACAGGUCAGGUAGGCAGCAGCAACUACCUGAGCUAGAGGGGAGCCAAGACACCAGGGUUAACAACCCUCAUCUUGGGAAGAAAAAAGACACAGGAUCUUUAACGACCAAAACGGCUGAGACCUUUGUUUUAUAUCUCUUCUGAAAAGCAAUCACGCACAUUUUAGCAGGGGAGCUUUUAUUCUCAUGCGGAUGGGGUAGCCAGUGCAGUGUCCUCUCCCAAGCGCAUCCGGACCUGGUCAGUCCAAGUGCACAGAAGAGCAACAUGAAACAUGUUUGACCUUCACAACUUUCCUUUACAGACCAGCAGGCUAAAACCCUGAAGGAAUUUUCCUGAGUGAGCUUGUCCAAAGCAGCGUUCACCACCUCAUUCAAUAUUUGCCUGGAAAAAAAAUGCCAAUUAUUGAAAGACAGUCCUGGCUGGGCAUCAAUAGGCAGCCAGGUGUGAGAAGUUGAAGAGAAAUGCAUCUCAUUAAUGUGGAAUUGUUUUUAGGUUAAUAAUCUUGCGUUAAUUUUCCUUUAAAAUAUUGUCUUUGACCGUUAAACGCUUGCACUGUUAUAAAAAGAACGUAAUAAAUGAUCUUGAAGCAAA
Neopsephotus bourkii (Bourke's parrot) is the source of this 2545-nucleotide long non-coding RNA. RefSeq lists it as uncharacterized. The transcript has 2 exons. NCBI's taxonomy places the organism in Eukaryota, Metazoa, Chordata, Aves, Psittaciformes, Psittacidae. The record is from RefSeq and is a predicted model, not a curated record.